Molecule: ribosomal RNA, 483 nt
Filed under: uncultured Sphingomonas sp.
Lineage: Bacteria; Pseudomonadati; Pseudomonadota; Alphaproteobacteria; Sphingomonadales; Sphingomonadaceae
Description: bacterial SSU rRNA
Rfam family: Bacterial small subunit ribosomal RNA
Source: RNAcentral
CGCCUGGGGAGUGCGGCCGCAAGGUUAAAACUCAAAGGAAUUGACGGGGGCCUGCACAAGCGGUGGAGCAUGUGGUUUAAUUCGAAGCAACGCGCAGAACCUUACCAGCGUUUGACAUGUCCGGACGAUUCCAGAGAUGGAUUCUUCCCUUCGAGGACUGGAACACAGGUGCUGCAUGGCUGUCGUCAGCUCGUGUCGUGAGGUGUUGGGUUAAGUCCCGCAACGAGCGCAACCCUCGCCUUUAGUUACCAUCAUUUGUUGGGUACUCUAAAGGAACCGCCGGUGAUAAGCCGGAGGAAGGUGGGGAUGACGUCAAGUCCUCAUGGCCCUUACGCGCUGGGCUACACACGUGCUACAAUGGCGGUGACAGUGGGCAGCAAUCCCGCGAGGGUGAGCUAAUCUCCAAAAGCCGUCUCAGUUCGGAUCGUUCUCUGCAACUCGAGAGCGUGAAAGCGGAAUCGCUAGUAAUCGCGGAUCAGAUGC